CCGCCGUGGGGGUAACGCUCGAGUGUGUGCGAGUGUGUCUGUGCCCUCGGUUCGCUUGCUCGCUCCGGGCCGUAUUAUGCAGGGACUUGGGAAGACGGAGAGGGGGGACCCGGGCCGAGACCUCGACCGGACGUCGCUGAGAUCCACCAUGCCAGCCGGCGGCCCUCUGCAGGGAGGUCCCCCCUCUAAUCUGAACAUGAACCUGUACGCCACCAAGAAGUCGGCCGCCGAGGGCAUGUUGGACAUCGCCCUGUUCCUGGCUAACAUCACGCACAUGAAGACCGUCAUCGAACAGGGAGCUGGAUACAGGUACUAUGCUGCCGUCCUGACGCUCAUCUCCUUCUCCCUUGUUCUCCAGAUAGUGGCUGGAGUCCUGAUCAUCAUCAUUGCUCGGGGAGACAUAAGCGAAGAGGCCAAUCAGAAGCGCCUGGACGGCCUGAACAACAUCACAACCAUCCUCAUCUUCCUCAUCUUCGUCAGCAAUAUCUUCAUCUCUGUCUUUGGGAUGGAGCGCACCGGCCUCUUUGCCAGGAUGCAUUUCUGACCCUCUGAUCUCGUUGUGAGCUGACCAGCCUCCCCUCGUGUCAGCGGUUGUUAAACUUCCUGAACAAUCUGACCACCGGCAUCAUCUUCCUCACCCUCAUCGUCAACAUCAUCAAAGCCGCGUUCGGCACACAGCGCAGCUGCUUCCUGCGAUGGCUGCUCCAGCGGUUCAUCCUAUAGGCCGAUGACAGAUAACGCAAUCGAGCACACACCCCCGCAGGGACCUGAACGUGGUGUCCAAUCAGAAACGACUCGACUACCUGAACAACCUUGCCACAGGUGUCAUCUUCCUCACCGCGGUGAUUAACUUCUUCGCCAGCUUCUUCGGAUCCAAGAGGACCGGCUUCUUCCGCUGGCUGCUGGCUCGACUCCACUUCUGACACGAGCACACACCCAACCACACACACACACACACACACACACACACACACACAUUCAGUGUAUUUCAUCUGGGCACACGCUGAUUCACAGUUGAAAAUUCACAUUCAAUUCGCCUACGUUCAAACAUCACAUCUUAUUUAUCAUUCAGGCUCUUGAGAUGUGCGUCACGCUGUAAUCCAACUAAAAUAAUGUCACUUUAACCAACUGUACAUCUAUGUAAAUAAGAUCGUAUGUGCUGCAAUAACGUGCUUGUGCAUAACUUUUGUUAAAUUGUGUGUAUUUCAAACGGUUUUACACUUGUUUUAUAAAUAUUUUGUAUGAUUUUUUUAAACUUGUUUGACGUAGAAAAUCAUUUUCAGGCUCAAUACGACAAAGAAACAGGGUAAUAUACAUAAAACAUACCCCUCUAAUAUGUACCGACACAUUCUCCUCCAGAAAGCUGAAUAAAUGUAGUGAUUUAACAGAA
Molecule: RNA transcript, 1390 nt
Organism: Pseudoliparis swirei
Lineage: Eukaryota; Metazoa; Chordata; Actinopteri; Perciformes; Liparidae
Gene name: ninjurin-2-like
Exons: 6
Source: RefSeq, a predicted model, not a curated record